This 2840-nucleotide long non-coding RNA is filed under the name Equus asinus (donkey). RNAcentral describes it as "lncRNA (ENSEASG00005027371.1)". Lineage: Eukaryota; Metazoa; Chordata; Mammalia; Perissodactyla; Equidae. The record is from RNAcentral.
GUGAAGGGGAUGGACCAGGCCCAGAGAUGCUUGGAAGGUCAAGGGCACCCACCUGGUCUGUGCUGGUCGGGGCUGCCCUGCCGGCAUCUCCGAGCUCAGGCAGUCAGUGGGGUGGGUCCCUGCUGCCUCUGACCUCCGAGGCGGGCCCUGAGCUGUGGCCGUUGCAGGAGGCUGUGCUCCCCUCACCCCCCUGAGCCACUCUGCGCCCACCCCAGUGGGGCUCAGGGUAAAGCAGAUCAGACGGGAUGCUAAGCGGGGGGUGCGGGGGGCACCUGCCUGGCCCUGGGCUGAGCACCCCAAGUCACCUGGAGACCCAUGCGCCUCCCCCACCCCCGCACCUGUCUCUGGGCCUCUGUCCCCCUCCCCUGCAAGCUGCAGAUCAGGUUUCACGACAGCAGUGCUUCCGGAAUGGGUUUGCAGACGGGUAUUUUUUAUUGGAAUAGUUAUGCAUUUAUUUCAAUAUUUAUUAAGAAAAACCAGUGCUUUGAAGCAUGAUUUCACAGACGCGUUGCCUAAGUCAAGGUUAAGUUUUUAAAAGCGAGUGGAUUUAAGGUCAGUUUAAAGAAGAAGGUCGGUCGAGAUGGUGGGGGUCCGCAGACGGGCAGAGCCGUGGGGCGGGACAUGCGGCCGCUUGGGACACACUGUGCUUCAGCAAUAACCAGGCUCUUUGCCCGUGUGGGCUCCUCAGACGGCUUCGGCUGGGCCCCGCCAAGGGAGCCUUGUUCUCCUUCCCAAGCCCUGACCUGCAAGAGCUUGGCCUCCAGCCGGGCUGGCAGGUGGUGUGGGGCGGGCUGCUUGACGGGCUCUGGGUGUCUGCGACCACACAGGGACCCCUGGGGCCUGGGCAUGGAGCAAAAGGCACAGGUACCAAGUGACUUAAGCUUUGUGGCCUGCAGAGCCCUUCCCCCAGGAGCUGGGGGGUGAGGGGAAGGGUGGCCAGGUCCCCUUUACACGUGAGGAAACCGAGGCCUGGAGAGGUGAAGGGCCCCCAGCAUCCCUCAGGGGCCUGGUAGCAGCGAGGCUGAGGACCUGGAAUGUGAAAAAGUGCCCCAUGUUUCCAAGGGGCUGGACUCCAGAGGCACAGCCCGGCUGCUGGCCUCUGCUGGCACCAUGGACUGGGCUGGCACGGUGGUCAGACCUGCAAGUGCCCCUGCGCCUCUGGAGCCUCAGCAGUGCGGGUGGCGGGCCACUGUGAGGAUUCCGAGGUGAUGCCCAAGCCCUGGGCUCCCUCCCAGGACAGUAGCCUCCAGGGCGAGGGGGCGCCGGGCCUUCCCCCUCGGGGAGCAGGUGACCUCAUAGGGUCUUGUCCCCCCUGCUCUGGGCGGCCCUGUGGCUGGUGGGGGAGGCUGGGUGCACAUCCGAUGCUGCCCACUCCAGAGAGCCAUGUGCGGGCCUCCCUGCCCUGCUGAGCAUCACUAUGGGGGUGCUAAUUAUGGGGGUGCUCGUCUGGGGAAGGAAAGGACGCAGGUGGGCCUGUCUGCCCCAAGCAGUCAUAGUUGGAGGGGAGGCGCCCCCACAUUAGUUGUGCCCGUCAGCACGUUCCUGAAGGGACACGUGUGCCGUGUGCUGGAGCUGGGAAGAGGGGCUGCGGGACCUGGGAAGACCGCGUGGAGGACGGGCUGGGGCUCGAGGGGAUGGCAUCUGACGCUGGUCAGCAGCUUCUGUUUUCUGGCCCCAGGUGUCACCCUGUUUCAUCAGCGCAGUGGCCCUGAGCCCUGUGCACUGUUGCUCUGUGCACCCGCCAGGGAUGUGACUCUCCUGGUGUCACCUGGUGUUAUAAGUGAUGGGGCAGGGAAUACAUCCUGGGUGUGUCUGACAUGACACCAUCCCUUUACCCUGAACUCUAGGACCCCAGAACAAGCAGACACGUGGGGAGGGCAGUUGAGGCAAGGGGACGGGCCUGAGAGAGGGUGCAUCUGGGUGGCUGAUGGGGCAUGUCUAGAGGGAGGAGCAGCUGAGCCUAAAGGAGAAGCCUGGCCGGGGACCUCCUGAGACUUGGGGAUGUUCCCAGAGGGUCACACAUACUGUUCCCAGCCACUUGGCCUUGUUUCUGUGAGCUGUGGGGGCUGGGGACCCAGGAAGCUGUGAUUGGCUGGCCAGGACAAGCCCCGGUGGAGAAGGGCUGGGUGAGUGGCCCCUCCGCUCUGCCUGAUCCCGUGGCCUGUCCAUCACAAAAGCACAAACUUACCUUAACGCACACGGCCUGGCCCUGGGGAGAGUGGGGACCCUGGUGCCGGACACCCCAAGCUGUGUGUUUGCAGGGCUCCGCACAGUGGUGGCUGGCAGGCACCUCAGCAUCUGCACAGAUGGACCUGAGACCAGACAAUGGACCCGAGACCAGACGGGCCCGUGGCCUACCCUGGCCAAACCCUCUUCCUGUCCCCUGCUCGGUCUUCUGCACCAGGCAGCCCCCUAAAGGAUGAAGUGUGCACAGUAUCAGCCCCGCAGAUCCUCCCCCUGGAGCCCUCUGUGUCCAGGGCCACCUUCGGCCCCCUUUGCUGCGCCGUGUAAGGGCUUGGGGUCUUAGAAGCCGCUGUUUAGCCCAGAUACACGUACUCUUUUUGUCUUUGUGCAAUAAUCAGUGUUCCUGGCAGAGCCGGGUCCGAGCUGGGGCCCAGGGAGGAGGCAGAGACAGCCUCUUCCAGGAAGCCCUGGGCCUGGUCCUGCCGCUGUAACUAUCGCACCCCCAGUCGCUGUACAGUUUCUAUGGUGUGAAUGAACUUCCCUCCUAGUUGCUGAUGGCACUGGUCCCUGCUGGCCCAGAUGGCCCAGGCAUAGAGAAACCAAGUGGCAGCCGCCACUAGUGUUGUUUUGAAUAAAAACCCAGAAGCCUAUUUCAG